This 468-nucleotide ribosomal RNA is filed under the name uncultured bacterium. Its description in RNAcentral is "partial 16S ribosomal RNA". It matches the Rfam family "Bacterial small subunit ribosomal RNA", at positions 28 to 507 of the family's 1533-position model. The record is from RNAcentral.
GACGAACGCUGGCGGCGUGCUUAACACAUGCAAGUCGAACGGAAAGGCCCUGCUUUUGUGGGGUGCUCGAGUGGCGAAUGGGUGAGUAACACGUGAGUAACCUGCCCUUGACUUUGGGAUAACUUCAGGAAACUGGGGCUAAUACCGGAUAGGAGCUCCUGCUGCAUGGUGGGGGUUGGAAAGUUUCGGCGGUUGGGGCUGGACUCGCGGCUUAUCAGCUUGUUGGUGGGGUAGUGGCUUACCAAGGCUUUGACGGGUAGCCGGCCUGAGAGGGUGACCGGCCACAUUGGGACUGAGAUACGGCCCAGACUCCUACGGGAGGCAGCAGUGGGGAAUAUUGCACAAUGGGCGGAAGCCUGAUGCAGCAACGCCGCGUGCGGGAUGACGGCCUUCGGGUUGUAAACCGCUUUCGCCUGUGACGAAGCGUGAGUGACGGUAAUGGGUAAAGAAGCACCGGCUAACUACGUG